CCUACGGGUGGCAGCAGUGAGGAAUAUUGGUCAAUGGACGAGAGUCUGAACCAGCCAAGUAGCGUGAAGGAUGACUGCCCUAUGGGUUGUAAACUUCUUUUAUAUGGGAAUAAAAUGUUCCACGUGUGGGAUUUUGUAUGUACCAUAUGAAUAAGGAUCGGCUAACUCCGUGCCAGCAGCCGCGGUAAUACGGAGGAUCCGAGCGUUAUCCGGAUUUAUUGGGUUUAAAGGGAGCGUAGGUGGAUUGUUAAGUCAGUUGUGAAAGUUUGCGGCUCAACCGUAAAAUUGCAGUUGAAACUGGCAGUCUUGAGUACAGUAGAGGUGGGCGGAAUUCGUGGUGUAGCGGUGAAAUGCUUAGAUAUCACGAAGAACUCCGAUUGCGAAGGCAGUUCACUGGACUGCAACUGACACGGAGGCUCGAAAGUGUGGGUAUCAAACAGGAUUAGAUACCCGUGUAGUC
Molecule: ribosomal RNA, 460 nt
Filed under: uncultured bacterium
Lineage: Bacteria
Description: partial 16S ribosomal RNA
Rfam family: Bacterial small subunit ribosomal RNA
Source: RNAcentral